Non-coding RNA from Oncorhynchus mykiss (rainbow trout), 2800 nucleotides. The record is from RefSeq and is a predicted model, not a curated record. Lineage: Eukaryota; Metazoa; Chordata; Actinopteri; Salmoniformes; Salmonidae.
UAUACGUUUUACAUUAGGACCGUUGGUGAAGAAAGUUAUAAAAGAAGACGACAAAACGAGAACAAAACCCAUACCUACUAAGACAUGAAGGGAAAUGCCGAUUUUAUAAGAGAGUUGUUAUAAUUUUGUUAAGACUUAGUAAAGACUGAAGCUACCGUCUCAUCGUGGAGGUAUUUGACAGCCUUGAGGUUAGCCUAGCAUCGUGUAACACCGAGAGAUAAUUGGUUGGGAAAGCUUAACGAGUUCGUGUUCCCAUGGGAUAUCGGUUACGGCUAAGGAGUACUGUCUGCUUUGAUAGCGGUGCUUGCUGUGGAUGUUGUGAGGAAACCUGCAAGGAACUGCCAUACUUCGCUGAAGGAAUAUCUACAAGUAGUGAGUAAUCACAACGUGAGGUGCUUCUGGACUUUGUGUGUCGUCGGUUUUUUAAGCUCCAACGGGUUAUUAAACUUGAAAUAAUUUAGACAUGGGUUGUGCACGACUCACUGGGGUUUAUAGUCUUUAUUUAUUUUUAAUGUUGUGCUAUGAAAAUGUAAUACACAUAUUGAACCUUAUGUAUCUUUCCUUGGUGGAGUCAUUUACUGUUUCAAUUUAAUUGAAUGUAUGGGAUAGCCUAUCCUGAUACAAUAACAGAAACCUAUAAUUUCAUCUGAAGUUAAUACCCUGUUGUCAUCACCCUAGACAGUUUACAAUAGGAAUUCUUAUUGGAGAUGUCCUUCCCACAUAGCAUCCCAUGCUGUUGAGAUACUCUACAUAAGUUAAUAAUGUGAGAGUCAUAUUCGAGCCUGGUGAGAGUUCUUGGCCUAACCACAGGGGUUACUUGAAAAGACUCAUGAGACCAUAGGCCUACUGGUAAAAUGCACAUGAGGGGGUACUUCAGGCAGAGCAAAAUUCAGUUGGUGGUACAGUAACCAAAAAAGUUGGGAACCACUGGUAUAGCCUAUGCGCACGGUUGACUGUCUCUCUGCCUGCCCGAUCCUCACUCUCCCUGGCCUGCUCUCUUUAUGAAAAACGCUAGUGUGCGUUUCUCUUCGGUCUGUUGCGUGUUGAAUAGCUCAGCAUACUCAUUGAUAGCCCUUACUUUAGUGAACUUGCACGAGACAUUGCAAGCCAAGAAAUUGCACAAUACAUAAUUUCAAUACCCUAUUGUUUUGUUUUGCACACUUCGUACAAAAUAAUACAAUGCAGUACUACAGGAUAUUUCUUAACGUAACUCUUUAUUAGUUAGCUAUAACAGGCAUGUUCACAUAUCGCCAACCAGGAUCAAUCUGCCAUGACCUAACCAUUUGGGUGGUCUUAACCAAUCAUAGCACAGUAUGAUAUGGCGGUAAAAUGCGUCCAAUUACAAUUCCGUAUGUUUACACAUAUGAAUAGUACAUCCCCCUUCUUUUAAAACAAAAGAAGUGUUUACAUAUUCUAAGGGUUUCUUUUGAAUACAUGCUCUGUAGUUUGAUCUCAAGGUAGGUAACCAUUUAUAUUGCAUACUACACCAACUGAUUCAACAGACUCAAACAAUAAUCCAACAUACUGUUACUUUUCAAACAAGGGAUUCUCAGCAACUCAGCUUUCACUGUAGAAAUAACAUCUUAACAUUUCAAACCACUACAAUACCAAAGCAUUUCAAGUGAACUUUCAAUAACAAGUUUACAGUCUGCAACUCUUUUAGGGCAGCGAUCCGCCUACACCCUUUGACAUUUCACAGGUCUAGGACAGCUCUGGGCUUGACCUCUCUUCCUGACCUUGUGCGAUAUGAUGCUGAGCAUGCUUCUGUCAGUCAACAGUUCUUGUGGUGUUGCAGGUAAGUAUGGUGUAUGUUGUGCUGUGUGUGUGUGUUUAGUCCAUCACGUUCUCUUUCAGGGGAACGGUUCAUCUCAUCAGUGUGUUGUUCUUUUGUGUUCAGUAGGUGACGACGAUUGCAGUGUGAUCCUUCUGCGGUGCGGACGUGAUAUGAACGUUCUGUGUCAGCUGGCUGGAUUAAAACUACUGGCUUCCAGAGGCCAUGCUCCUGGAUUCUAACUGACUCUCCGUCAAUCAGUGGUGGCAGUGGUCUAGCUGACCUGUCGUAGUGUCGCUUUUGUUGUUGUUGUCUCUGUGCACGUUUUCCAUGCAUUUCCUAUUAGCUGUUAGCUGUUCCUGUUGGUUGGUGCUGGGAAGGAUUGAGCGAAGUCUGCGGCUCAUCAACAGCUGGGCUGGUGAUUUGAAGUUGUCAACUGGAGUGUUGCGGUAUUCAAGAAGACUGAGAUAAAAGCCUUCAAGUACUCAUCUGACCAACUUCUUCAGGGCCAGCCAGGCCCCCUGUCGCCCCCCAGGCGCCCUGAAACCCAACCCCCAUAAGAAGAAGCCCAAAUACGACCUGCCCUUGCCCAGUAUACAUACAAGAUCACAGCCAUGUCAGGUGGGCGUCAGGCUUGUAAGAGACAUUAAUUAUCUGUGAGAUUCAGUGAACAAGGCUGAAAGGACUGGGUAUUGGCUCCUACUGGUUACUCUGCCUUCUACUGUGAUGGAGAAUGCCUCUACCCUCUGUUCCUGCAUGAACUCCACCACCCACACUAUGAUCCAACUAGUGGUUUGUUGAACAUUAAUAGAAAUGAAACUCCAGCACACUGGUAGCACUAAAGACGGGUGAGUAUAACUUUUCCAGGUGAGUUGAACCUGCCUGUGGGUGCGGUGGGGAUAUUCCUGGGAGGUCUACUGAUGAAGAGGUACGGUGGCCCCCUUGAACUUUGCGACCUUUUGCCACAUUUCAGGCUUCAAACAUAAAGAUCUAAAACUGUAUUUUUUUGUGAAGAAUCAACAACAAGUG